CGUUCCCAAAUGCUAAUAAAUAAAAGAUACACAGAACCCUAAUCUCCAAGACCCAAAUCGGCGCAAACACUGUUCUUCUUCUCCAAACAACCGAAUCCAUUCUCAAAAAUUGCCAAAAUUCAGGCGAGUGAAACCCAAACUCACAUCACACAUUUUAUUUUCUCUCCUCUUGCCAUAGCGUAACCGUUUCUGAUAGAUUCCCCCUCCCUCACAUGCUUUCUUUGAUUUUAGUUCGGAUUUUUCACUCUUCAGAUGAAAAUAAGGAAAAAUAGGGAGCGUUAGAUUGGAUUCGAGCUAAUAUACUCCCUCCAUUUGUCCCUCUUUCAUCAGAAACGGGGUAAGAAAUCAGUUUGGGGGAGGAUUUUUUGUUUAGAGGGGUUUUCGUGGAGAGAAAGAAAGAAGAUACGAGAAGACCUGAAGGUCUAUAAAAGGUGAGAACGUUUUCUUAUUCUGGGGAUUUCUUUUGGAGAAUAUUUGGGGAAAAGAUUUGAGAGAGAUUUCGGAAGAAAGUUAAAAUUAGGUUUCGAGAUUUUUCUUCUUCAUUUUUUAUUGUUCUUUUAUUUCUGGUACUAGAAUAGAAGAAAAAAAAUCACUGAAUGUUCUGCUAUUUCAUUUCUAUGUCGAUUAUUGUUUAACAUUUUUUGAAAUCUCUAGAGUCCAUCUUCUUUAUUUUGAUUCUAGAUUUUGGUUUAAAAAUGGAAGUCAUUUGAGAUGUUCGAGUCUGUUGCUGCUCGAGGGUUGAUUUUCAGCUACUAUUUGCUUUCUUUGGGUCGAUUUCAGUGUUGUAUUAAUUCAGUCUCUUAAUUCCAGGUUCAUUUCUUUUCUUCUCUUUAGUUCCCGUUGUGAAUCGAUCUCUGAAUGAACUAUAAAAUGGGGCUAAGUUUAAAGUAACAACUGAGAUUUGUGUGGUUAUCUUAGUUUCAUUUUGCUGCUAUGUUCUUAUUGUUUUCAACUUCUUCCAUGAUUUCACAUGUGUGCUAACGAAUGUCCAUAUGAUCUCUGGGCUUAUAAUUGGUUGGUUGUCGGUCGAAUAAGUUUAAAUGGCUUGUGUAUUUGUGAAUUUUCAUGCUUGUUUGCGUACUAGGUGCCAAUCAGUCGAGUUACGAGUAGUUUUCUUCAUUCCUUAGUGCUGAAAAUGUACAGACUAUUUUGACACUGGAUUUCCAAUCAGUUUGCAUUCUCUGUUUACUUGUACCUAGUCCCAGUGAUUUGUUUUCACCUUUGAAUAAGAUUAGAUCAUCUCAGCUCUAAAACACUGAUUUCUUUUAGUUAGAUAGAGAAAACUUGAUAGCUUUCCCCUUCUCUAUAGAUUCUGUGCAAAUUGUUUUACUCAAGAUGGGAUUGAAUUGGAGUUUUGUUGGUGCAUUGCUGUCUUUGAUAAGUUAGUUAUCCAUAUAGCUUUACACUCGAAGGAGCAUUGAUAUAUUGAAGAGAAAAUGGAUCCAUGAAUUAAGUUUAGCGAUUGAUUCUUGGUUCCUUGUUCAUUCUUAAAGCCACAGAUUUCUUUUAGUGUCGAAUGCAUAGCUGAUGAAUGUUUGCUUGGAUCUCGUACUACUGCAAUGUUAUCAUGAUGCGUUUUGUGCUUGGCUACUUGAAUCUGCCUAACCUUGGUAUAGCUUAAAUGUGAUGAGCCUUUAAAACAGGCCUACCUAGUCUCAUUUAAAGUUUUCUGGCAAAAUAAGUUCACUGCUCUUGUUUGAUGUUUGUUCAAAUUAAGGGAAUCUGGAUUCAAGUGUCGGAGUGUUUUUAUAAAACUGGUGCAAACCUUCAAUUGAUGUGUUGUUUCUUAUUUUUAUGAGUUCAUACCUAGGAAUGAUGAUUGUCUAUUAAGGGUUAGCAAGCCUAAGGUCUGUUACUAGAGGAAAUACGGUGAGAGGGAGGGGUGAUCGCAUGAGCAACAUUCUGGGAUUAAGAAUUUUUGGGUAAAGUUGAAAACCUUUGUGAAAAGUAAAGCACAUAUAUGAAGUUUCUCUGCAUUACUAGCUAGAAAUCAGUAGUGGCUAAUGGCAGUUAGUUUGGGCCGUGGAAUUUGUUGUUUCGCUAAUUUAAAAUAAAGGAUUUGGACCUUGUGAUGUUGGACUUGAAUGGGCCGCAACUACUUGAGUCUCGGGCUUCAGUAUUUUGGCCAAAGGGUUUUGGGCACAUGAUAACUUGUUUAUUCCAUCCAUAUUUUAUCCCUUUUUCCAACUUGCACAUAAGUCGUGUUCCUCUCAUAUAUUGUAGUUUAGCUAAUUAAAAAUCAGCGCUCGUUGAAAAGCCUUUAGGUGCGUUUAAAAUACAAUUGUGAUUGUGUAUACGUUCACAUGACAUAAUUACAAUUUAAAAACCAAUUUGGAGUAUGCGUUCAUGCAACUUCGAUCAAUUUUUGCUUAAUAAUAAUUGGUCUAAUAAAUCGCUAAUUAAUUUAGGAUUAUAUAGUUCGAGGUGCACCAUCCACAAGUCAAUCAUACAUGUCCCUCGUAUUAAUUUCAUAAUUUAGAUAUAACAAAUAACAAAUGAUCGUAGUUUGCUUUACGCACGUUUAAUAUAUUAUCGUGGUCGUGGACACGUUCGCGUGACAUGGUUACUAUUUUAAAAACAAAACCAGAGUAUGCGUUCGCGCAACUUUGGUAAAACUUUUCUUAAUAAUAAUAAAGCAUUAUUAAUUAUGGACACAUUCGCAUGACAUGAUUUCUGACGGGCCAAACAAAUGGGUACACGUACGCGUGACCCGUUUCAAGAUAAUUUCUUAAUUAAAAAAGGCAAAUGCACAUAGGUUCUAAAAUGAGUAGUUAGACAAUUUAAUAAUCCAGGUAUAAUCAAAGCAACCGUGCUAGAAUCAUGGAACUCGGGAAUGCCUAACACCUUAUCUCGGGUUAAUAGAAUUCCUUACCCGGAUUUCUGUGUUCGCGGAUUAUAAAACAGAGUCAAUCUUUCCUCGAUUCGAGAUUUGAACCGCUAACUUGACACCACAAAUUAUCCCAAGUGGCGACUCUGAUUUUUAAAUAAAAUAAUUCCGUUUCAAUUGUCACUUAAAUUGAAAAAAAACCCGUAUACCCUUUACGGGGGGGGGGGGGGGGGGGGCUUUAGGUGCAAGUUUUGAUUAUAGAAGAUGAUGAAUAGUAAUUUGGUGGCAUUGGGCAAUGGAUGUAGUAACAUUAAUGACUUCGAAUGGGUAUUAAAAUAUAAGGAUGAAGUUGAAUGGUUUAGCUUAUAAAUUUAUUUGACGAUUUGAGUUGUUGGAGGCUUGUAGCCACUUUAUGAGCCAUAUAUGGAUAUUGCUUAAUAUCUUAGGUCAUAUUUUGAUGUAAUUAGGAUAUCUAAUUGUAGAUAUCAACUUGUUGGUGAUGUUGAGAUUUUUAAUCAACAGUGGAAUGAUGGAAGAGGAUUGAAAGCUUGUGAACAUUAAUAAAGCGCAAGCGAGGUAAGUUGAUUAAAACUUACUCUUCUUGAGGGACUUUCCCUAAAAGCAUGUUUCAAGUUAAUACUUAAGUUGUUUGAAAAUGUGCUUUCGUGCUUGUGGGGACAAACAAGUACGAAUGUCUCCAUGUACUAAAAUAUUAUGUUGGAUAUGUAGUGUCAUGCCGUUUUGUAAAAUUUUAUUUUAAAUCCUAUUGGCUAAAUGACACUCAAGGUAUAUGUUAUAAGAUUUUAUCAAAACUUAUGUAUUGACAAGAGUAUACAUAUUUGAGUACUAAAGAAAAGUUUUCAUGGAAAGUAUUUCUUUUGGAAAUUGAUGUGCAGACUAGCCCUUGUGGUAUCUUUUAAAGAUUGAUGUUAAAUUGCAAAAGGCUUUAGCAUGUAAAAGGUUGUUUAUUUAGUUUUUGUUCAAAUGAUUUAGAUUUUCUAUAAAUGCUAUAAUUUGAUAAAAAUAGAUCCUUUGAAGCUACUAUGCUGUGAAUCUAUUUUUUAAGUACCAAAUGUUUUGGGAGUUACUUGUGUUCGCCGAGAUUGACUUCGGAUAUAUUGUGUUCGUCGUCAUGAAACUACACAUGCCGAUGUAGGCGUAGAUAGCCACUUUGUGGUAUAGACUGUGGCAGAGUGCUCUCCCUCGAGAGAGUACUAUGUUGUGCUAUUAUUAGCAUGGUUGAGUCGAUUCGUACGACACUACGAUGAGACACUCUAAGCAAGUAGGGUAUAUGAUACUUUCCGCUAGGUACAUAACCUAGUUGACCUUCUUAUGUCGGUAAUGGUAUGGUACUCCCAGUGAAAGGUAAGGAUGAUUUUCUUAUGUUUAGGUCUAAGGAUCCAAAAGUGAUUUCAAUGACUUAAAGCAAAUGAAAUAAUUUUUUAUGAUUUUAUAAAAUCUUGGAUUAGUGUAAGCAUUUUAAAAGAUUAUAUUGUGGGUUAUAUUUCACUUGGCUUUGGUUCAAAACCACAAGGGUCAUGAAUUGAUAGAAUUUCUUAUCGUUUUAUUUCAAAUAUUGGUGCAUUAUUUUUAUAAAGUUUGUCCCAAGAACUUAAGUUAGCGAGAGUCUAUGAUACUUAUUGAGUACCGUUGUAGUGUACUCAUCCCUUAGGGGCCCCCUCUAGGGCCCUGCUUACUUUACAUGUUUCAGGAUGAUGUAUGAUACAUGGUAUGUGGUCAGGCCAGGAUGACUAUCUUUCCAAGGUAUUAUGAAGCACCACUUUUAUUUCGUGGUAGCUAUCAUGUUAUUCCUUAUUUUAUUUUAUUGGAACUUCUCCAACCGUUGGUUCUAUUCUUUGGUAUAGAGGCUCCAUAGAUAAUUAUGAAAGAUUGUAGUAACGGGAUUGUACACGACAUUCAUGAAAGUAUAUUUUACUUAGUCUCAUUGUUAUUAUUAUGAAAGGGCGUCAUGUGUGAUUUUGAAUUGGAAAAUAUUUUAUCAUUUAACUUGAAAAUGUAUAAGAUUUUCAAGGAGGUUCCGCAGUUAAAUUUAGUUUUCAUGCAUAUGAUUUGGGUGCAUCGCAUGGUUUGGUUCGCUCAGGUCGGGUAGUGUGCCAGGUGCCGGUCACGUGGUUUUGGGUCGUGACAAUUAUUUUGGUAUUUCCGAUGUUACUUGCUGUUUUCUUCCCUUAUUGUGAUUGUAGUAUCGUUAGCCAUUUUGUGCAGUCUUUAUAUAUACAUCAUGUUCCAUUGUUCCUAUAUUUGUACAAUUUAUUGGACCGGUAGGUGUCUUGACUAUUUCUCGUCACUACUCCACCGAUGUUAGUCUUGAUACUUACUUGGCAGCGCUGUGGUGUGCUCAUGCUACUCUUUUGCACAUUUUUGUUGUGCAGAUCCAGAUAUCGAUCAUUAGUAGUUGUGCGGGUCAUUGCUGAGGAGACUCAAGGUAAACCUGAUGCUGCGUUCGCAGGCUUCAGAGUCACAUUCUUACUUGUAUUCAACUGUUUUCACUCUUUUUCGAAUAGUUAUACUUAGAAGUGGUAGCUAACUCUGUAGAGCUUAUAACUUGUAUUAUUGGGUUUUGGGAAUUAUAAAUUUUGUAGAGAUUUCUGCUUCAAGACUAUUACAUUUCAUUUAUUAUUGUGGUAUCUCAGUAUGAAUUAGGCUUACCUAGUCCCUAAAACUAGGUGCCAUCACGAUACCCAAACGGAGGGAAAGUUGGGUCGUGACAACUAGCC
RNAcentral lists this long non-coding RNA (5565 nucleotides) under Nicotiana tabacum (common tobacco). RNAcentral's name for it is "long non-coding RNA (NTAB_LNC000754)". Lineage: Eukaryota; Viridiplantae; Streptophyta; Magnoliopsida; Solanales; Solanaceae. The record is from RNAcentral.